RNAcentral lists this ribosomal RNA (442 nucleotides) under uncultured bacterium. RNAcentral describes it as "partial 16S ribosomal RNA". It matches the Rfam family "Bacterial small subunit ribosomal RNA", at positions 338 to 795 of the family's 1533-position model. The record is from RNAcentral.
CCUACGGGAGGCAGCAGUGGGGAAUAUUGGGCAAUGGGCGCAAGCCUGACCCAGCAACGCCGCGUGAAGGAAGAAGGCUUUCGGGUUGUAAACUUCUUUUGUCAGGGAAGAGUAGAAGACGGUACCUGACGAAUAAGCCACGGCUAACUACGUGCCAGCAGCCGCGGUAAUACGUAGGUGGCAAGCGGUGUCCGGAUUUACUGGGUGUAAAGGGCGUGUAGCCGGGUUGACAAGUCAUAUGUGAAAUCCUGCGGCUUAACCGCCGAACUGCAUUUGAAACUGUUGAUCUUGAGUACUGGAGAGGCAGACGGAAUUCCUAGUGGAGCGGUGAAAUGCGUAGAUAUUAGGAGGAACACCAGUGGCGAAGGCGGUCUGCUGGACAGCAACUGACGGUGAGGCGCGAAAGCGUGGGGAGCAAACAGGAUUAGAUACCCCAGUAGUC